AUACGGAGGGUGCAAGCGUUACUCGGAAUCACUGGGCGUAAAGCGCGCGCAGGCGGCUAUUUAAGUUGGAUGUGAAAGCCUACGGCUCAACCGUAGAACUGCAUCCAAAACUAUUUAGCUAGAGUGUGGGAGAGGAAGAUGGAAUUAGUUGUGUAGGGGUAAAAUCCGUAGAGAUAACUAGGAAUACCAAAAGCGAAUGCAAUCUUCUGGAACACUACUGACGCUGAGGCGCGAAAGCGUGGGGAGCAAACAGGAUUAGAAACCCUAGUAGUCC
RNAcentral lists this ribosomal RNA (274 nucleotides) under uncultured bacterium. RNAcentral describes it as "partial 16S ribosomal RNA". It matches the Rfam family "Bacterial small subunit ribosomal RNA", at positions 523 to 796 of the family's 1533-position model. The record is from RNAcentral.